This 424-nucleotide ribosomal RNA is filed under the name Fusobacteriota bacterium. RNAcentral describes it as "Fusobacteria bacterium partial 16S ribosomal RNA". It matches the Rfam family "Bacterial small subunit ribosomal RNA", at positions 355 to 776 of the family's 1533-position model. The record is from RNAcentral. Lineage: Bacteria; Fusobacteriati; Fusobacteriota.
UGAGGAAUAUUGGUCAAUGGGCGAGAGCCUGAACCAGCCAAGUAGCGUGCAGGAUGACGGCUCUAUGGGUUGUAAACUGCUUUUAUGUGGGGAUAAAGUGCGUGACGUGUCAUGCAUUGCAGGUACCACAUGAAUAAGGACCGGCUAAUUCCGUGCCAGCAGCCGCGGUAAUACGGAAGGUCCGGGCGUUAUCCGGAUUUAUUGGGUUUAAAGGGAGCGUAGGCUGUCUAUUAAGCGUGUUGUGAAAUUUACCGGCUCAACCGGUGGCUUGCAGCGCGAACUGGUCGACUUGAGUAUGCAGGAAGUAGGCGGAAUUCAUGGUGUAGCGGUGAAAUGCUUAGAUAUCAUGACGAACUCCGAUUGCGCAGGCAGCUUACUGUAGCAUAACUGACGCUGAUGCUCGAAAGUGCGGGUAUCAAACAGG